CCGUCUUGCUCAAGAUAUGCUGCAUCUGCUCUAUUCCCUUCUUAGGAGGGUCCAAGCCCAAGAGCUCGAGUUGGUAAUCUGGGUGCUAGCCUAGAAAUUCUGGUGGCAUUGCGUGUGGCUCAGGGGUGCCAGUUCUGCUUGUUAAUACGUAUACAUAUCAUGGCUUGUUAAUCUUGAUUGCUCUUACCUAGAGAAUAUUGUAUAAUACUUCAAAGGUCGAUUGAUAGCUUGGGCUUUCGACUAGAUCGAGCAUGCUUGCGGAUUUUGUUGGCAUGGUAAGAAUUCAAUAUGUAAUGAUUUUUCUGGUAACUUGCCUCUACUAAUAAUGUUGGCAUUAAUAUCCUAAAUGGUGGAAAGUAAAGAUCAUAGUUACCGAAUUUUAUGCUUAUAUGUGGUGAUCCACUUUACACAUAUUAGAGUUCGUUUUUCCUGUGUGUAAUUACUGUACCAACUUGUUGUGUUGACUGCUUCAUAUUUGUAAAAAGGAGCACAAAAGAUGAGUUAUUAAUUACUAGUAUUAAUUUUUUGUCUCGUGUACCAAUGUCUGCGCAUGAUAGACUUAUGUUAUUUACCAAUGUGUAUCAUCAUGUGAAAUGUUAAGUAUUUGUGAUUGAAGCAAGCAAGCAGUGUUAAGCUAGUUUUCUACUAGUUGACACUUGGCAGUAUGUUCCAUUCUUUGCUCUCAUUCCGUGCACACCAAAGUCUACAAGCAUGCAAGGUCCUUUAUGCUUUCAUUCUUAAUAGUUAAACGACAAUACUGAGUAAUAUAUAAUAGAAAAUAGAAACAUUCCCUACUUGGAAGUCUUACUACCAAAAAUCAUCUUUUUACAUUUGCACUUCAUAAAAUUUAGUACCAGAAACUGCUUUCUAUAUAGGUGAUUCACAACUUCAAAAUCACUUGUUUUGGUCCGUAUUAUAAGUUUUGAUUGCUGCUGUGAUACAUGACAAGAAAAAAAGAGCUAAUAUGUGAAUUAUGCUAUAUAGAGUAGCUAUUGGAUUUGGUAAUAGGACAUGGUUGCUACUUUUAGCAUUAGUCCUUGAUAGCGCGGACUUUAUCCAUGUAAAGAACAUUUAGAAAUUUAUAACUCGAUCUUAGCAUUUAGGCAUUUAGUUUGUUAUUGCCUUCACAAUGGUAUUAUCUUGAUUUUUUUACUCUGGUAUUGAACAUUCAUAUCUUUUACUUUUAUGCCUUGCCAAAAAAUGGCGUGUGAAUAAAAAUGGGUCUCGCACCAUUUGUCCAAUGAGUUCUGCAGAGGAAGAUACGGCUCACUGUUGUUGUUACUGUAGAGGAUGUCGCCCUUGUUGCUGAUGCAGCUGUCAUGUCCCACGGCUCGACCGUUGAUGACCAGUGCUUCAUUGAGUUAGAGGAUUCUAGGAACCCGCUCGCCGGCAUCACCAUCAAGCAUGUUGUCUAGCCUAGCUUCUUGUUCAAGUUGGUAGUCACAUGCAACACUGGUGCAAUUAGCUGUUUGCCAUGGCGCUGCCUCAUGUUGUCCUGCAUACUGGAACGUGAUUUUUCUCCAACAGGAUUCCCAAUCUAUCAUGAAAAAUGUCACGAGUAGUGUGGCUAGAAUCAAGAAGGCUACCAGAGUAGUGUGGCUAGAAUCAAGAAGGCCAUUUAUAAACUCUGCAUGGAGAUGAUUAAGAUGACAUGAAUGUACCAGAUUUGCAUGUCUGCUGCUGGCCAUGCUUCACGAGCUGGACCCUGCAUGUUCAGAGAGCAAGGCUUACUGGGAAGUAGCGAAGAAUGAUCCUAAUUUUCCAUAGUCUCUCAUACAUGAACUUGAGCAACUCUGCAAUA
This is a long non-coding RNA of Lolium perenne, 1801 nucleotides long. RefSeq lists it as uncharacterized. NCBI's taxonomy places the organism in Eukaryota, Viridiplantae, Streptophyta, Magnoliopsida, Poales, Poaceae. The record is from RefSeq and is a predicted model, not a curated record.